This 440-nucleotide ribosomal RNA is filed under the name uncultured bacterium. RNAcentral describes it as "partial 16S ribosomal RNA". It matches the Rfam family "Bacterial small subunit ribosomal RNA", at positions 338 to 795 of the family's 1533-position model. The record is from RNAcentral.
CCUACGGGGGGCCGCAGUAGGGAAUAUUGCUCAAUGGGGGAAACCCUGAAGCAGCAACGCCGCGUGGAGGAUGAAGGUUUUCGGAUUGUAAACUCCUUUUGUUAGAGAAGAUAAUGACGGUAUCUAACGAAUAAGCACCGGCUAACUCCGUGCCAGCAGCCGCGGUAAUACGGCGGGUGCAAGCGUUACUCGGAAUCACUGGGCGGAAAGAGCGCGUAGGCGGGAUAGCAAGUCAGAUGUGAAAUCCUAUGGCUUAACCAUAGAACUGCAUUUGAAACUGUUAUUCUAGAGUAUGGGAGAGGUAGGUGGAAUUCUUGGUGGAGGGGUAAAAUCCGUAGAGAUCAAGAGGAAUACUCAUUGCGAAGGCGACCUGCUAGAACAUAACUGACGCUGAUGCGCGAAAGCGUGGGGAGCAAACAGGAUUAGAUACCCUUGUAGUC